Molecule: long non-coding RNA, 307 nt
Filed under: Lathyrus oleraceus (garden pea)
Lineage: Eukaryota; Viridiplantae; Streptophyta; Magnoliopsida; Fabales; Fabaceae
Description: Pisum sativum (pea) long non-coding RNA (PSAT_LNC037247)
Source: RNAcentral
UAGCCUUCUCAGGUGAGUUCAAAGCUUAAUGAGUCUCUCUCUGAUCGUGUUCAAAUGAACUUCUUCUAAUACCUUUUCCUUUUUUGGUUCUGAGGUUUCGAUAAUUACGAAUCUGAGACAUGUUAGAUUGAGGAUUUUGAAAUGAGGGAUGCUCUUUGGCUCUGUUUGGUAAGUCAUAUUGGCGAGCUUCUAGUUUAUUUAUAGUUUAUAGUUUAUAAGUUAAUAUGACAAUUUAGAUCGAUUUGGUAAUGAUCUUUUCAUCAUGAGCUUAUAGUCUGUUUUAUUAACUUAUAGCUUAUCAUUUUUU